This 69-nucleotide transfer RNA is filed under the name Loxodonta africana (African savanna elephant). It matches the Rfam family "tRNA". Rfam says of the family: Transfer RNA (tRNA) molecules are approximately 80 nucleotides in length. Their secondary structure includes four short double-helical elements and three loops (D, anti-codon, and T loops). Further hydrogen bonds mediate the characteristic L-shaped molecular structure. tRNAs have two regions of fundamental functional importance: the anti-codon, which is responsible for specific mRNA codon recognition, and the 3' end, to which the tRNAs corresponding amino acid is attached (by aminoacyl-tRNA synthetases). tRNAs cope with the degeneracy of the genetic code in two manners: having more than one tRNA (with a specific anti-codon) for a particular amino acid; and 'wobble' base-pairing, i.e. permitting non-standard base-pairing at the 3rd anti-codon position. The record is from Rfam by way of RNAcentral. Lineage: Eukaryota; Metazoa; Chordata; Mammalia; Proboscidea; Elephantidae.
CCCUGGGUGGCAUAGUUAAGUUCUCAGCUACAAACUGAAAGAUUGGUGGUUCAAGUCCACCCUGAGGCA